CUUCUAUAGGACCUUUCGUGGUUGUGUUGGUGAAGGUAGACUUCAGGAAAGUGCUUCAAGAGUUCCUCCCGUUACCGGACGAUCUGCAACCACGGCACUCGAGAUGCAGGACAUUGACUACUGGUGCCUGUUUGCCUUUGGUGGACCAUAUGAUUGGAGCCCGCUCGUCUACCAGGCAGUGGGAGCAAGACUGCGUGAAGACAUCACCCGUGAGCAUUGUACGGGAUAGUGGAGUGCGUUACGUCUGCCUGUCUUAUUCAUCAUGAUCACGUCGCUGAAGCAGCGAGACGUGUGUACCGUGCGACGGUAAGACUAGUCUCGAUGUAUGCACUGAC
Ornithodoros turicata is the source of this 335-nucleotide long non-coding RNA. RefSeq lists it as uncharacterized. The transcript is spliced from 4 exons. The record is from RefSeq and is a predicted model, not a curated record. Lineage: Eukaryota; Metazoa; Arthropoda; Arachnida; Ixodida; Argasidae.